ACGAACGCUGGCGGCGUGCUUCACACAUGCAAGUCGAACGGAAAGGCCCCUUUGGGGGUCCUCGAGUGGCGAACGGGUGAGUAACACGUGAGUAACCUGCCCUUGACUUCGGGAUAACUUCAGGAAACUGGGGCUAAUACCGGAUAGGAAUCCUUGCUGCAUGGUGGGGGUUGGAAAGCUUCGGCGGUUUUGGAUGGACUCGCGGCUUAUCAGCUUGUUGGUGGGGUAGUGGCUUACCAAGGCUUUGACGGGUAGCCGGCCUGAGAGGGCGACCGGCCACAUUGGGACUGAGAUACGGCCCAGACUCCUACGGGAGGCAGCAGUGGGGAAUAUUGCACAAUGGGCGGAAGCCUGAUGCAGCAACGCCGCGUGCGGGAUGACGGCCUUCGGGUUGUAAACCGCGUUCAGCAGGGGCGAAGCUUGUGGUGACGGUACCUGCAGAAGAAGCACCGGCUAACUACGUG
This 464-nucleotide ribosomal RNA is filed under the name uncultured bacterium. RNAcentral's name for it is "partial 16S ribosomal RNA". It matches the Rfam family "Bacterial small subunit ribosomal RNA", at positions 29 to 507 of the family's 1533-position model. The record is from RNAcentral.